UCACCUCGGGUCCGUCCCGUCGAGCAACGGUGAUGAGCACCGGGGGUGAGGAAGAAGCGCCGGGCCAAGGCGUCCGCCCUGACCCGAUGGUUCCCCCCCACCGCCGGCGCCCGUCCCGCCUCCCCAUCCCCGAAAAACCCCAUAUAAUAAGCACUCUCUGUGUGGAGCGGCUCUUUCAGAAGGGACGGACCGCCACCAAGCAGCUGGGACGGAGGAGGUGAACUAUGAUGACAGACUUGGAGAUGAAUAUGGAGCCCAGUAUACUAAUAGGCCUUUGCCUCAUUCCGUGCCCAGGAUGGAUGCGACACGUUGAAUAGGCAUCUGUAGUCUGACAGUUUGUCUGCAGAUUUGCCUGGAGCUGAAGAUACAUCUUUUGACUCUAUCCCUGCUCUGCCACUAAGUUCCUAUGUUAAGAUACUGGACUAGUCACUUAAACCAAAGCAAAGUGGGCACCAAGAGCCUCUUUUUUAUGUUGUGGGUGCCUGACUUGAGUCACUUGAAAUCUCAUUUGUGAAAGACCUAAGCAUUCAUUGCAUGCAACUGCGGCAGAAUGUUGCAAAAAUGCUCAAUAUUCUGAACAAGAUAGACACUCAGCAACUCAAACUUAAAAAUAGUAGACAGUUCUGGCCAUGAUCUCCCUGGACUUCUUUUCCUGUAUGCAAAAUACUUCUUCCAGCAUGAAGACAGCGUGACAGUUACAAGUACGUCUUUAGGAUAUGGUAUUUUUGAAGUUUCAAAUCCCCAUCAUGACAAAAAAAAUCCCAACUCACAGUUCUGAGAGGAGGACCUCCCAUACAGCUUACAUGUGUUCAGGUUGUCCUAGGUAGUUGCUUGAAUGAGCCAACUUUUGGCAUUUCUAGGUCAUUUGUACACUCAGUUUAACUGGGAAACCUUUCCCUGUCAGGAUUUCAUCAAAACUGAAAACUUCCAGCAAAGAGCUUCAGUUUUGACAGAACUUUUCUUGUCAGACAACUGCUUGGUUCACGUUUCCUGUCUGGGCUCCUGAGACUAUGGCAGGACUCUAGAAAGAGUCUACCUGUCCUGCUGUACAAGUUUCUGUUUUCAAAGGUAUUUGCUCUGGGUGAAGUCAAACUAGGCUUGCAAAGGCACCUCUUUCAUCUGAACUCUGCUAUACCAGCUAUGGAUGCUCCACUGCUGCUGCGUUAGUAGAGCAUGCUCACCUGGCUCAGGUUGUUGUGCCAUGCAACAGACACAAUCUCCUUGGUCUCCAAUAACUCUGGGCCACCUAUCCAACUUGCAAGGCCUUCAGAUUUGCCCAAAAGGGUGUGCUGCUUCUGACUUAAAGUAGCCAAUUGGUACAACAUUAUAUAAAACAUUUGAAUAAAGCUUCCACCUAUGUAAAUAUCAAA
This is a long non-coding RNA of Strigops habroptila (Kakapo), 1370 nucleotides long. Lineage: Eukaryota; Metazoa; Chordata; Aves; Psittaciformes; Psittacidae. The record is from Ensembl.